AUUGAACGCUGGCGGCAGGCCUAACACAUGCAAGUCGAGCGGAUGAAGGGUGCUUGCUCCUGGAUUCAGCGGCGGACGGGUGAGUAAUGCCUAGGAAUCUGCCUGGUAGUGGGGGAUAACGUCCGGAAACGGGCGCUACUACCGCAUACGUCCUGAGGGUGCAGGUGGGGGAGCUUUGGACCUUACGCUAUCAGAUGAGCCUAGGUCGGAGUCGCUAGUUUGUGGGGUAAGGGCCUUCCUAGGCGACGAUCCGUAACUGGUCUGUGAGGAUGAUCAGUCACACGGGAGCUGAGACACCGACCAGGCGCCUGCGGGACGCAGCAGUGGGGAAUAGUGGACAGUGGGGGAAAGCCUUACCCAGCCAGGGCGCGUGUGUGAAGAAAGUCUUCCGAUUGUAAUGAACGUUUUGGGGGGAUAAACGGCAGUAACUUAAGACCUUGCUGUUUUGACGUUACCAACAGAAUAAGCACCGGCUAACUACGUG
This 484-nucleotide ribosomal RNA is filed under the name uncultured bacterium. RNAcentral's name for it is "partial 16S ribosomal RNA". It matches the Rfam family "Bacterial small subunit ribosomal RNA", at positions 30 to 507 of the family's 1533-position model. The record is from RNAcentral.